RNAcentral lists this ribosomal RNA (548 nucleotides) under Apristurus aphyodes. RNAcentral's name for it is "partial 16S ribosomal RNA". It matches the Rfam family "Bacterial large subunit ribosomal RNA", at positions 1808 to 2561 of the family's 2925-position model. Lineage: Eukaryota; Metazoa; Chordata; Chondrichthyes; Carcharhiniformes; Scyliorhinidae. The record is from RNAcentral.
CAAAAACAUCGCCUCUUGUUUAAACAUAAGAGGUCCCGCCUGCCCUGUGACAAUGUUCAACGGCCGCGGUAUUUCGCCCGUGCAAAGGUAGCGUAAUCACUUGUCUUUUAAAUAAAGACCCGUAUGAAAGGCAUCACGAGAGCUUAACUGUCUCUAUUUUCUAAUCAAUGAAAUUGAUCUAUUCGUGCAGAAGCGAAUAUAAUAACAUUAGACGAGAAGACCCUAUGGAGCUUCAAACACUUAGACUAAUUAUGUAAAUUUUUUCCGCCUAUUGGUAAAAACAAUAAUAUAAUAUUUCUAGUUUAAUUGUUUUUGGUUGGGGUGACCAAGGGGAAAAACAAAUCCCCCUUAUCGACCAAGUACUCAGUACUUAAAAAUUAAAGCGACAGCUUUAAUCAAUAAAACAUUUAUCGAAAAAUGACCCAGGAUUUCCUGAUCAAUGAACCAAGUUACCCUAGGGAUAACAGCGCAAUCCUUUCCCAGAGUUCCUAUCGACGAAGGGGUUUACGACCUCGAUGUUGGAUCAGGACAUCCUAAUGGUGCAACCG